UAGCUUAUCAGACUGGUGUUUGU
This 23-nucleotide microRNA is filed under the name Eptatretus burgeri (inshore hagfish). RNAcentral describes it as "Ebu-Mir-21_5p (mature (guide))". Lineage: Eukaryota; Metazoa; Chordata; Myxini; Myxiniformes; Myxinidae. The record is from RNAcentral.